Molecule: long non-coding RNA, 1109 nt
Organism: Cyprinus carpio (common carp)
Lineage: Eukaryota; Metazoa; Chordata; Actinopteri; Cypriniformes; Cyprinidae
Exons: 3
Source: RefSeq, a predicted model, not a curated record
UUAAAAUAUAUUAAAGUUGAAUAUAUUUAAAUAGAUAAUUAGAUUGAAAUAAUAUUAUAUUCUAUUAAAUAAUUAAAUAAUAAAUAUUUAACACAUAGAUUUAAAUUAAAUGAAAUAGUGUAUUUUAACGUGCGCUGGCCACGAGGGGCGUUAACGUGAUGUUACGUGAGUGACGUAAACGUGAUGGCAAAAAAAAAAAAAAAAAAAAAUUAAAAAACGUAAACGUAACGUGAUGGCGCAAAUAACCACGAAGACGGAAGAAUAAUUCUGUUUAUUACAAAAGACUGAAGAUAUAACUGCCGCCAUCCUUUAAUUUAUUUAUUUCUACGUUGAGGACACUUUAUAAACCUACAGAGAUACCGGACCAACGAACGACCUUCACAACGGGACGGAGCUAACGUAAUUAACGUUAACGGUUACUUGGAAAUUCAAACAGUAACGGUCAACUGACAACUGCGCUGAGCCAAAGGUAAGAAUGAAUGUGCUUUUAUUCAUCGUUUUAUCAAUCUAAUGUUAAAUUUCACUUCAGUUUAAUAUUUCAAAUUAUUUAUUUGGAUUAUAAAGAUUAUAUAUUUUCAAAUUCCUCUUUUUGUAAUUGUACAUAACGUUAUCCCUGUUGGUUAAUUUGAGGUGGUCCAAGUUACAGUCUGAGGACGGGAACAGCAACAAGAGUUUAACUUCUGAUUCGUAAUCUACACACUCUACUGGGCAGUUCAUGAAGACAGAUGUUGUGACGACCAGGACAGUUCCUCCUACCACACCAGACUUUGCUGUAUAUGGAUGCCUGACCACUAGCACUGGACAUUUACAACAUUUUGGCGCCAGGGAUCCCUUGCAGAGAAGAUUUUUCAAAGACACCCUCAGAAUUACAACAGAUUUUAAGGCUUAAAAUUAUUGUGGGUGGGAGUAUAAUGAACAUAAUAUGAUUGUUUUAUUUUAUUAUUAUUAUUUAUUUUUAAAUAGUUCCCAUUUUUUAAUAAUACAUUUGUUUAAUAAUACAGCACAAUAUAGGGCUAAGUUGCACCAGGUCAGGAAAAAACACAUAAGUUGCAUCCGUGUAUAAGACACAUUUUACUAUUAAUUUCAGAAAUAAUUUAAAUACUGAUAAA